RNAcentral lists this ribosomal RNA (549 nucleotides) under uncultured Glomeromycotina. RNAcentral describes it as "SSU rRNA". It matches the Rfam family "Eukaryotic small subunit ribosomal RNA", at positions 548 to 1098 of the family's 1831-position model. The record is from RNAcentral. Lineage: Eukaryota; Fungi; Glomeromycota.
UUGGAGGGCAAGUCUGGUGCCAGCAGCCGCGGUAAUUCCAGCUCCAAUAGCGUAUAUUAAAGUUGUUGCAGUUAAAAAGCUCGUAGUUGAAUUUCGGGAUCAAUUUAUUGGUCGUGCCAACGGUACGCACUGGUACAAUUGGUUUCUCCCUUCUGACGAAGCAUGAUGUCAUUAAUUUGAUGUCGUGGGGAAUCAGGACUGUUACUUUGAAAAAAUUAGAGUGUUUAAAGCAGGCUUUGGCUUGAAUACAUUAGCAUGGAAUAAUGAAAUAGGACGUUUGAUCUUAUUUCGUUGGUUUCUAGGAUCGACGUAAUGAUUAAUAGGGAUAGUUGGGGGCAUUAGUAUUCAAUUGUCAGAGGUGAAAUUCUUGGAUUUAUUGAAGACUAACUACUGCGAAAGCAUUUGCCAAGGAUGUUUUCAUUAAUCAAGAACGAAAGUUAGGGGAUCGAAGACGAUCAGAUACCGUCGUAGUCUUAACCAUAAACUAUGCCGACUAGGGAUCGGAUGAUGUUAAUUUUUUAAUGACUCAUUCGGCGCCUUACGGGAAAC